AUCACCAGAGAUAAAUGAAUUUCACUAUUGGAUUACCCCUUGAAAUCAAUAUUUGAAUUUGAGUAUCUGAGUAGCGUAGAACUCACUGAGUUCCCUUGCCACACACCGCAGACCACAAACUAAAUGAGUUCCUGAGAGAUCUCUGGCGCCAAAUUAGAAACCUUUAGCCAAGCGACCAUGUGAUGAUCUACGGGCAUCGACCUGUCCAAGUUCUAUUCAAGUAUCGUUGACCCGACUUGCCUUUGAAUAUCUUCGGGUGGGCAAUGAAUUGGAAGCUCGGAUCAACUUUGGGGAAAGGGGAUGCUUUCUCCCGACAAUUAAGGAUUUUGGUGUGCGUGAAGGCGAAUUUUAGUUCUUCGCGAAAUUAACUUCGUUAAUUUCACGUAAUAUCCGGGGACGAAUAUUUUUAGAACUCGCGCUUUAUCUGAGGACCUUGAGACUUUGCUCGAUCACUUCGUUCAGGUCCGCGGAAGAGUCGAGAACGGUCCGAGCAGUAAUUCGCGCCGUGGUGUGUUCAAGAAGGUGAACUUAGUUCAAGUGUGAAAGUGCUUCUACUUUACUAAUUUAGAUUAUCCUGUUUAAUUUCCCUCCAAAUAGUUAGUUUAGCUAGGCAAGUAAAGUGCAUAGUGCAAUUUUGGCGGUUUUCUGGUGCGAGCGUAGACUUGCGGAUAAAGCGAUUUGUGGCAAGUUGCGGAAGCCCGGCACACCACCACCCCCCGUUUUAAAAACGACCGUUUUCGUCCCGCCUUCCUGCUACGAAGACGUGUACCCGGCGGUACACGUGGCCGGAGAGGGCAGCGCACGUUAUUCCCGCGCCCUAGGCAGGGCAGUAGCAACGGGUCCGGCUUUGAGCCGGCCAUCGUCCAUUUCGAAAGUGUCCCGAGUGGAAACAAGCGUCCAAAAAGUUUUUCGUUCGGAUUCGAUCCGGCGACGACCAGCGUGGCAAGCACGACCGAGUCCACUACACCACCGGCGGUGACGAUCGUCGGUGCGACGGCCGUA
This is a long non-coding RNA of Aedes albopictus (Asian tiger mosquito), 1002 nucleotides long. RefSeq lists it as uncharacterized. NCBI's taxonomy places the organism in Eukaryota, Metazoa, Arthropoda, Insecta, Diptera, Culicidae. The record is from RefSeq and is a predicted model, not a curated record. The transcript has 2 exons.